This 254-nucleotide ribosomal RNA is filed under the name uncultured bacterium. RNAcentral describes it as "partial 16S ribosomal RNA". It matches the Rfam family "Bacterial small subunit ribosomal RNA", at positions 524 to 776 of the family's 1533-position model. The record is from RNAcentral.
UACGUAGGGUGCGAGCGUUAAUCGGAAUUACUGGGCGUAAAGCGUGCGCAGGCGGUGAUGUAAGACAGAUGUGAAAUCCCCGGGCUCAACCUGGGACCUGCAUUUGUGACUGCAUCGCUAGAGUACGGCAGAGGGGGAUGGAAUUCCGCGUGUAGCAGUGAAAUGCGUAGAUAUGUGGAGGAACACCGAUGGCGAAGGCAGCCCCCCUGGGUCAAGACUGACGCUCAUGCACGAAAGCGUGGGGAGCAAACAGG